CCUACGGGAGGCAGCAGGGAGGAAUAUUGGUCAAUGGACGAGAGUCUGAACCAGCCAAGUAGCGUGAAGGAAGACGGCCCUAUGGGUGGAAAACUUCGUUUAUAAAGGAAUAAAACGAGGCACGUGUGCCUUUUUGCAUGGACGUUAUGAAUAAGGAACGGAUAACUCCGUGCCAGCAGCCGCGGUAAGACGGAGGAUCCGAGCGUUAUCCGGAUUUCUUGGGUUGAAAGGGAGCGUAGAGGGGUUGUUCAGUCAGUUUUGAUAGUUUGCGGCUCAACCGUAAAAUUGCAAUUGAUACUGGCAGUCUUGCGUCCAGUUGAGGUCGGCGGAAUUCGUUGUGUAGCGGU
Molecule: ribosomal RNA, 347 nt
Filed under: uncultured bacterium
Lineage: Bacteria
Description: partial 16S ribosomal RNA
Rfam family: Bacterial small subunit ribosomal RNA
Source: RNAcentral